GAUUUCCUCCCUGAUCACUCAGCAGUACCCAUUCCCUAGCUCCCUGCCCACCAAAUUGUCCAUUAAAAACCCUAAUCUCUGAGCCUUCAAGGAAACUGACUUGAGGAGUAACACCAUCUUCUGUGUGCCUGGCCUUGUGUCAAAUUUUUCUCUACUGCAAUGCUGAGGUCUCAGUAAAUCGAUUUUUGUCUGUGCAGUGGGCUGGAAGGAGUCAACAGAAACACGUACACUUUAUUGAAUGCCGUCGUAAAAAAGUGUGUGAGGAUAAAGGGCUGAUACAGGACUUGGCUCCGGGAGCAGGGCGAGGAAUGGAAGGUGGAGUACAAAGGAUACAGGUCAUGGGUAGAUCUCCUGGCCUCAGUGAUGUCUCCUGAUCUAUCUAUGGGCUUGGAAGAUUAAUACUGGGAUGAUGAUGAGCAGAAUGGUCAUGAGGAUGCCCAAAAUCAGGGCCCAGAUGUUCAGGCACUUGGUGGUGGAGGCAUAGGCCUGGGCCCCAGUCACGUUGCCAACCAUCUUCCUGUCCCUAGACUUCACGGAGUAGGCAAAUGCUAUGAAGCCCAGGCAGCAGGGGUUCAUGAAGAGGGUGUUGAACAGGGACCAGACGACAUGGUGGGGCACGGAGGUCUUGCUGCGGAUGUGGAUCACGGUGGACGUUGGGGGAGCAGGGUUGUGGGGCACCCCCAGCACAGCCACCUUGUGCUCCUCCUUGAGCAUCUCAUAGUUGGGGGGCUGGCCGCUGUUGACAGGAGAGAAGAAGGUUUGGACAGUGUGGUUCAUGGUGUCCAGCGAAGACCAGCCGUGGUUGAGUUACUGGGAUGGUUCUCAGUGGACCCUCCCUUUCCCCAGUAGUUUUGUUUUCUCCAUAUUUGAAAUUAAGAUAACAAUUACUUUCGUUUGCAUUAGCCUAGUACAGGUUUGCCCAUUUAUCUUUUUUUCUCUUCAUUUUCUGUCCUUCUGAAUCUAUUAGUUUUAGGUUUGUCUUUGUUUUUAUGGUAUUGAAUUAUUUUUUAUUUGUGGUUCUAUCUGAC
Molecule: long non-coding RNA, 1028 nt
Filed under: Homo sapiens (human)
Lineage: Eukaryota; Metazoa; Chordata; Mammalia; Primates; Hominidae
Description: non-protein coding lnc-AMN1-2:3
Source: RNAcentral